RNAcentral lists this long non-coding RNA (2859 nucleotides) under Podarcis muralis (Common wall lizard). RNAcentral's name for it is "lncRNA (ENSPMRG00000014256.1)". The record is from RNAcentral. Lineage: Eukaryota; Metazoa; Chordata; Lepidosauria; Squamata; Lacertidae.
GCAAUCAUUUCCAAAGACAGAAUUUCCUGAACGCUCCCCCCAACCCGGUUUGUUAUUCUGCCAUUUUGAUGGAUUGCCACGCUCAACAUGCCUGUUUGCCAUUUCUGGAACCGCAUUGCUGCAAGUUUGUCUUGCUGCUUGUCCAAAACUGGGGAGGGUGGCCUUUUAUUUUAUUAAAUAAAUAAAAAACCCAAAAGAAAACUAAUGCAAUAUUUUUUUAAAAAAAAACCCACACACACAAAAAGGGGGGUGUUAUACCACAAAAGGACUUCAUUAGCUAGAUGCUAAAAAAGAAAAAAAAAGGAAUUGUGAUGGUUAUUGCUUUGGGGGAUAGGAGGAAGGAGAGUUUUGAAAUAGUUUUGAUUUUUCUUUCUCUCUCUCUCUCCUUCCCACUCCCUGCUUCAUUCCUCAGGAUUGUUAAGCUUGACAUCUCUUUAAAUGAACUCCAAGAGAUUCCACCCGAAGCCCUUUUCCCGUUUGAGAAUUUGGCCGAGCUGGACGCGUCGCUUAAUGCUUUAAGCACGUUGCAGGACGAGAGGGAUGGGGCCCCUUCCCAACCUGGUGGCCCUUAACCUUAGUUAUAACGCGAUCAGAGAGGUGAAGGAGCUGGAAAACUGCCCCUGCCUGUCCGUUCUGCACGUGUCCCACAAUCGCUUGAGGAGCCUCACAGAUUUCCCUCUCUUGAGUAACCUGACACGGCUGAAUUUGUCUUCGAAUCAGUUGGAGUCUCUGGAAGGGGUGCAGAAUCUCCCCCGGCUCCGCGAGCUCGACGUGCAGAAGAACCGCAUUGCCAGCCUCCUGCCUCUGGCUUCUUCGCUGUCUCUCAACGUCCUCUGUGCCUCCGGCAACGACAUUGGCGGGCUGCCCGAGGCUCUGCACGUGCUCAGAGGCCUCCGCAGGCUGAAGCAUCUCACGCUCAAGGACAACCCAGUGGCGCGAGACAACCGCUACACCACUGGCAUCAAGGAGUGCACCUCCGUGGAGAUACUGGACGGGAUGUUUCUCCACGAUCCGCCAAGUCUUUCUGCUCUCCCUCUGCACAUGUGGCCCCUCCUCCGGGAACCAACAUCCAGUUCAACCGACGUCGCCCAAGCCAAAGCAGACUUGAAGGAGGCGGCCAGGAGAGCCUUCGGCGCAAGGCUGCAGCGGAGGAGAGACGACGUCGGCAGCGCUGUGCAUCACUUUCAUUCCAGGAUAUUGGAACUGCGGGAAGAGUUGACAGGCUACGAAGAAAGACUCAGACUGGAAUUGGAUGGGUGCGAAAGAUUCAUCCAAGCUCUUCCGUCGGAGGAUUUCCGAAAGUUGGACAAUCCUCAGGAGAUUGCUGAAGCCAUGGACAAAUACCUGUUCACCAAAUUCUGGGAAAAGUGGCAGAGGGGUCGAAGGAAGCCUGUCUGUCUACCCUACAAGGAGCUGAGCAAGCCAGAGGAUGUGGUGAACGCCGCUGCUCAUCUGCUCUCAAGUCUGCCGUGCUGUGUCUCCCCCACCAUCUGAGGCCAUUUCCUCUGGGGAUCUUGCCUUCUUCCAUCAGUUGUUGGCUCUGGAAUCCUGUAGCUUGUGCAGCUGCCUUGACAAUCUUUCUCCUAGAGGCCGUAGUCAACAGACACACACAAAAACCCACUUUGGAUAAUUGUUGUGACGCUCUCCUUUCUCCUUGCUGGGAUAGAUGCUUUGGGGUGAUUUUAUUGCAUGUGGUGAUUUUAGGGGUCGUUGCUAUUAAAGUUAACCAUUGCUUAGCACUAAAGAAGAAGAAGAAGAGUUUGGAUUUGAUAUCCCGCUUUAUCACUACCCGAAGGAGUCUCAAAGCGGUUAACAUUCUCCUUUCCCUUCCUGCCCCACAACAAACACUCUGUGAGGUGAGUGGGGCUGAGAGACUUCAGAGAAGUGUGACUGGCCCAAGGUCACCCAGCAGCUGCAGGUGGAGGAGCAGGGAAGCGAACUCGGUUCACCAGAUUACUAGUCUACCGCUCUUAACCACAACACCACACUGGCUCCCGCUAAAGAGCGACUUUGCAGGGGUUGCAAAGAGGACAGCCCCGGAGCCCAGACGCCCAAAUUUGUGGAGGACAAAGCUCUCAGCAGCAGCUAGCUAUGAUGGCUAUGUUCUGCCUUCUCAGUCGAAGGCAGGAUGCAUCUGAAGAUGACUUGCGGGGAAUGUGGGGAGUGUGCUGCUUUUGAACUCAGAUCCUGCUUCGCACUGGGGGCAUCUUGUCUGGCCAAACUGAGAACAGGAGUCAGGAGCCAGAGUCAGUUGCCUACCCACCACUCUCUAAGGCUCCUCCUCUCCAGGUGUUGUUUUUUUUAAAAAAAUUAAUUUUUCACAAAUAAAAAAAAAUACAAUUUUUUAAUAUAGAUCGUAAAUUACUUUACCUACCAUCUUCCCGUCCUCCCCUUCCAUGGUUUCCAUAUUUACCCUUGAAUGCUGCAUAUUUCACACAGACUAUUCAAUACAUCCAUUUUAACCUAUUGCUUUUAUUGUUGUUGGCCUGUCUGAGCCCAGCUUCGGCUGGGGAAGGCAGGAUGAUAUUAUUAUUAUUAUUAUUAUUAUUAUUAUUAUUAUUAUUAUUAUUAUUAUUAUUAUUAUUUUGAUUAAUAACGCUGUUGCUCAUGUUUCAAGUCUUGCUCACGUUUUCAUCUCACUAUGGUGGUUCUUUAAAUACUCAAUAAAAGGUCUCCAGUCCUCAAGGGGUUUUUCGUUGUUUUGGUCUCUAAUCUUCGCUGUUAAUCUUGCCGGUUCCACAUACUCUCCCAAGGUUUCCCCCCUCCCCCAAGCGCAACCAACAGCGGCAAGAGUCUUGAUAGCACAAGGAUGGAAGAAUGAGGAAAUCCCAACGAAUGAACAGUGGCAAGAGAAAUUGA